Sander lucioperca (pikeperch) is the source of this 657-nucleotide long non-coding RNA. RefSeq lists it as uncharacterized. The transcript is spliced from 2 exons. Lineage: Eukaryota; Metazoa; Chordata; Actinopteri; Perciformes; Percidae. The record is from RefSeq and is a predicted model, not a curated record.
AUACCGUAAUUACUCAAAUAAAAACCGGGGCCUUUAUUUACCUGAACUGCAGAAGGUACCAGGCUUUUAUUUGAAGCAGGGCGACAAAGCAGUUUGGGUCAGAAUUAAUCAAACACCACCAUUGUGUCAGUUUGAACCCUGUAAAUGUACCGGGUAUUUAUUUCAAAUACAGGUACUACGGUAUUGCUGGUAGAUUACAAUAAGAGCAUACAGUAGUUUUGUAAAACACAUUGCUGGUUUGCAGCACACCAGUAUCUGAUUAACGUUACAUACGGUAGCUAUUUGUUUCUAGCUCCACGCUAACUUUGUUCCUCCCACCUCCAGCUAGCUAGCUGUGCUCUGCUCUUGUCGGCUAAUCUUGUCAGCUCAUCCUUCUGUUUCUUCCAGUAUCGGAUUCUCCUGGGGUCAAUGUCGAAAUGUCUCGCAGCUUUUUCACCCGAGUUUUCCUCCACAUACUUUAAAACUCUCUUCGUUUUGUUGUUGAAAAGUCCGUCACUAGCACCAGAGCCCGUCAUUCUCUGCUAGCACUAAAUGAGACCCGUGUUACAUCCAAUGUAGCUACUGCCAUCUAUUGGCACCUGUACGUUACUACAAACUACACUUGGCUGAGUAACACAUACAGCCGCAUUGACUAAAAUACUGGUAGGACAAUAAUAC